GAUGAACGCUAGCGGCAGGCCUAACACAUGCAAGUCGAGGGGUAGAGUUCUUCGGGACUUGAGACCGGCGCACGGGUGCGUAACGCGUAUGCAAUCUACCUUAUACAGGGGAAUAGCCCAGAGAAAUUUGGAUUAAUGCCCCAUAGUGUUAUCGAAUCGCAUGGUUUGAUAACUAAAGUUCCAACGGUAAAAAGAUGAGUAUGCGUCCCAUUAGCUAGAUGGUAAGGUAACGGCUUACCAUGGCAAUGAUGGGUAGGGGUCCUGAGAGGGAGAUCCCCCACACUGGUACUGAGACACGGACCAGACUCCUACGGGAGGCAGCAGUGAGGAAUAUUUGUCAAUGGGCGCAAGCCUGAACCAGCCAUGCCGCGUGCAGGGAAGACGGUCCUAUGGAUUGUAAACUGCUUUUANACAAGGAAGAAACCCUCCCACGUGUGGGAGCUUGACGGUACUGUAGGAAUAAGGAUCGGGCUAAACU
RNAcentral lists this ribosomal RNA (478 nucleotides) under uncultured bacterium. RNAcentral's name for it is "bacterial SSU rRNA". It matches the Rfam family "Bacterial small subunit ribosomal RNA", at positions 28 to 503 of the family's 1533-position model. The record is from RNAcentral.